This 253-nucleotide ribosomal RNA is filed under the name uncultured bacterium. RNAcentral describes it as "partial 16S ribosomal RNA". It matches the Rfam family "Bacterial small subunit ribosomal RNA", at positions 524 to 776 of the family's 1533-position model. The record is from RNAcentral.
UACAGAGGUCUCAAGCGUUGUUCGGAUUCAUUGGGCGUAAAGGGUGCGUAGGUGGCGAUGUAAGUUUGGUGUGAAAUUUUGGGGCUCAACCUCAAAACUGCAUUGAAUACUGCAUUGCUUGAGGAUUGUAGAGGAGAGUGGAAUUCACGGUGUAGCAGUGAAAUGCGUAGAUAUCGUGAGGAAGACCAGUUGCGAAGGCGACUCUCUGGGCAAUUCCUGACACUGAGGCACGAAGGCCAGGGGAGCAAACGGG